RNAcentral lists this ribosomal RNA (497 nucleotides) under uncultured bacterium. RNAcentral's name for it is "partial 16S ribosomal RNA". It matches the Rfam family "Bacterial small subunit ribosomal RNA", at positions 28 to 507 of the family's 1533-position model. The record is from RNAcentral.
GACGAACGCUGGCGGCGUGCCUAAUACAUGCAAGUUGAGCGCUGAAGGUUGGUACUUGUACCAACUGGAUGAGCAGCGAACGGGUGAGUAACGCGUGGGGAAUCUGCCUUUGAGCGGGGGACAACAUCUGGAAACGAAUGCUAAUACCGCAUAAAAACUUUAAACACAAGUUUUAAGUUUGAAAGAUGCAAUUGCAUCACUCAAAGAUGAUCUCGCGUUGUAUUAGCUAGUUGGUGAGGUAAAGGCUCACCAAGGCGAUGAUACAUAGCCGGCCUGAGAAGGUGAACGGCCAAAAUGGGACUGAGACACGGCCCAAACUCCUACGGGAAGCAGCAGUAGGGAAUCUUCGGCAAUGGGCGGAAGUCUGGCCGAGCAACGCCGCGUGGGGGGAGGAGGUUUUCGGAUCGUAAAACUCUGUUGGUAGAGAAGAAAGUUGGGGAGAGUGGAAAGCUCAUCAAGUGACGGUAACUAACCAGAAAGGGACGGCUAACUACGUG